Molecule: ribosomal RNA, 255 nt
Filed under: uncultured bacterium
Lineage: Bacteria
Description: partial 16S ribosomal RNA
Rfam family: Bacterial small subunit ribosomal RNA
Source: RNAcentral
UACGUAGGGCGCAAGCGUUAUCCGGAAUUAUUGGGCGUAAAGAGCUCGUAGGCGGUUUGUCGCGUCUGCUGUGAAAACCUAAGGCUCAACCUUGGGCUUGCAGUGGGUACGGGCAGACUAGAGUGCGGUAGGGGUGACUGGAAUUCCUGGUGUAGCGGUGGAAUGCGCAGAUAUCAGGAGGAACACCGGUGGCGAAGGCGGGGUCUCUGGGCCGAUACUGACGCUGGAGGAGCGAAAGCGUGGGGAGCGAACAGG